This 679-nucleotide ribosomal RNA is filed under the name bacterium IMCC11805. RNAcentral's name for it is "bacterial SSU rRNA". It matches the Rfam family "Bacterial small subunit ribosomal RNA", at positions 28 to 755 of the family's 1533-position model. The record is from RNAcentral.
AACGAACGCUGGCGGCAGGCCUAACACAUGCAAGUCGAGCGCACCUUCGGGUGAGCGGCGGACGGGUUAGUAACGCGUGGGAACGUACCCUUUUCUACGGAAUAGCCUUUGGAAACGAAGAGUAAUACCGUAUACGCCCUUUGGGGGAAAGAUUUAUCGGAGAAGGAUCGGCCCGCGUUAGAUUAGAUAGUUGGUGGGGUAACGGCCUACCAAGUCUACGAUCUAUAGCUGGUUUUAGAGGAUGAUCAGCAACACUGGGACUGAGACACGGCCCAGACUCCUACGGGAGGCAGCAGUGGGGAAUCUUAGACAAUGGGCGCAAGCCUGAUCUAGCCAUGCCGCGUGAGUGAUGAAGGCCUUAGGGUCGUAAAGCUCUUUCGCCUGUGAUGAUAAUGACAGUAGCAGGUAAAGAAACCCCGGCUAACUCCGUGCCAGCAGCCGCGGUAAUACGGAGGGGGUUAGCGUUGUUCGGAAUUACUGGGCGUAAAGCGCACGUAGGCGGAUUGGAAAGUUGGGGGUGAAAUCCCGGGGCUCAACCCCGGAACUGCCUCCAAAACUAUCAGUCUAGAGUUCGAGAGAGGUGAGUGGAAUUCCAAGUGUAGAGGUGAAAUUCGUAGAUAUUUGGAGGAACACCAGUGGCGAAGGCGGCUCACUGGCUCGAUACUGACGCUGAGGUGCG